CGUAUCACCCAAGACAACUUUACGGAGUUGACGAUUGACGGAGCGAAGCGACGUCAAAGCGUUCAUUAAAGUCGAGUUGGCUUAGGGAUACGUUCGUUGGGUAGGGGAGCGUUCUGUAAGCCUGUGAAGGUGGCCUGUGAGGGUUGCUGGAGGUAUCAGAAGUGCGAAUGCUGACAUAAGUAACGAUAAAGCGGGUGAAAAGCCCGCUCGCCGGAAGACCAAGGGUUCCUGUCCAACGUUAAUCGGGGCAGGGUGAGUCGACCCCUAAGGCGAGGCCGAAAGGCGUAGUCGAUGGGAAACGGGUUAAUAUUCCCGUACUUGGUGUUACUGCGAAGGGGGGACGGAGAAGGCUAUGUUGGCCGGGCGACGGUUGUCCCGGUUUAAGCGUGUAGGCUGGUUUUCCAGGCAAAUCCGGAAAAUCAAGGCUGAGGAGUGACGACGAGGCACUACGGUGCUGAAGCAACAAAUGCCCUGCUUCCAGGAAAAGCCUCUAAGCAUCAGGUAACAUCAAAUCGUACCCCAAACCGACACAGGUGGUCGGGUAGAGAAUACCAAGGCGCUUGAGAGAACUCGGGUGAAGGAACUAGGCAAAAUGGUGCCGUAACUUCGGGAGAAGGCACGCUGACACGUAGGUGAAGUGAUUUACUCAUGGAGCUGAAGUCAGUCGAAGAUACCAGCUGGCUGCAACUGUUUAUUAAAAACACAGCACUGUGCAAACACGUAAGUGGACGUAUACGGUGUGACGCCUGCCCGGUGCCGGAAGGUUAAUUGAUGGGGUCAGCGCAAGCGAAGCUCCUGAUAGAAGCCCCGGUAAACGGCGGCCGUAACUAUAACGGUCCUAAGGUAGCGAAAUUCCUUGUCGGGUAAGUUCCGACCUGCACGAAUGGCGUAAUGAUGGCCAGGCUGUCUCCACCCGAGACUCAGUGAAAUUGAACUCGCUGUGAAGAUGCAGUGUACCCGCGGCAAGACGGAAAGACCCCGUGAACCUUUACUAUAGCUUGACACUGAACAUUGAGCCUUGAUGUGUAGGAUAGGUGGGAGGCUUUGAAGCGUGGACGCCAGUCUGCGUGGAGCCGACCUUGAAAUACCACCCUUUAAUGUUUGAUGUUCUAACGUGGACCCGU
This 1124-nucleotide ribosomal RNA is filed under the name Salmonella enterica. RNAcentral's name for it is "partial 23S ribosomal RNA". It matches the Rfam family "Bacterial large subunit ribosomal RNA", at positions 1154 to 2236 of the family's 2925-position model. Lineage: Bacteria; Pseudomonadati; Pseudomonadota; Gammaproteobacteria; Enterobacterales; Enterobacteriaceae. The record is from RNAcentral.